GUGGGGAAUUUUGGACAAUGGGCGCAAGCCUGAUCCAGCAAUGCCGCGUGCAGGAAGAAGGCCUUCGGGUUGUAAACUGCUUUUGUACGGAACGAAAAGGCUCUGGUUAAUACCUGGGGCUCAUGACGGUACCGUAAGAAUAAGCACCGGCUAACUACGUGCCAGCAGCCGCGGUAAUACGUAGGGUGCAAGCGUUAAUCGGAAUUACUGGGCGUAAAGCGUGCGCAGGCGGUUUUGUAAGACAGAGGUGAAAUCCCCGGGCUCAACCUGGGAACUGCAUGUGUGACUGCAUAGCUAGAGUACGGCAGAGGGGGAUGGAAUUCCGCGUGUAGCAGUGAAAUGCGUAGAUAUGCGGAGGAACACCGAUGGCGAAGGCAAUCCCCUGGGCCUGUACUGACGCUCAUGCACGAAAGCGUGGGGAGCAAACAGGAUUAGAAACCCUAGUAGUCC
RNAcentral lists this ribosomal RNA (450 nucleotides) under uncultured bacterium. Its description in RNAcentral is "partial 16S ribosomal RNA". It matches the Rfam family "Bacterial small subunit ribosomal RNA", at positions 354 to 796 of the family's 1533-position model. The record is from RNAcentral.